This 1193-nucleotide long non-coding RNA is filed under the name Canis lupus familiaris (dog). Its description in RNAcentral is "lncRNA (ENSCAFG00000055235.1)". Lineage: Eukaryota; Metazoa; Chordata; Mammalia; Carnivora; Canidae. The record is from RNAcentral.
GAAUGAAUGUGUGAAAGAAGGAAGCAGACAUCUCAGCCACUGUGUAGACCAGGUAUCAUAUCAAUCCUAUGUGGAAUCCUCAGGAACAGUAGGAACUGAUGCAGAUUUGGGCCUCACAGGCACUAAAAGAAAAAGUUCAAAGCAAAUGCAGUAUCAGGGUGAGAAUCUUCAUUUUAUACUUUGUUAAUACGUGUAACCUAACUAAAUCUGGAUUUCAAAGAUUAAACAGAAAUUCAUAUGGACAUCCAGAAAGAAGGCAAAAAAAAAAAAAAAAAAAAAAGGUCAAGUACAGAUAGCUUCAGAUUCCUCCCUAGCAAUCUUCUCUACAGAAGACAGAGGAGAAGGUUUAUACCUUUGUUGUUCAGAAAUGCGACUCACGCACCAGCAGCUCCGGGAUUACUUGGGAGCUUAUUAGGAAUGCAGGAUCUCUGCUGCCAUUCCAUAUCUACUGAAUCAGAAUCUGCACGUGACCAGAUUUUUAGGUGAUUCUUAUGCAUACGAAAUUCUGAGGGAACAAAAAUGUGAUACAGUUUUUAAAAGUCCACCCAAAGAGUCUCUAGUAUAGAGACAACAAAUUCUCAAAUCUGAAAGAAUAAAGCAGUGAUUCUCAACCAGGCUGCUUCUUUGACCCUUGUUUGUAACUUCCUUUGGCCUUUUUGUUUUUUCCUACUAAGAGCGCUUAUUCUCUUAGUGUAAUUUCUCUGAGAUUGGAGAUAUUUACUCGUCUGUACAUUAGGACCCUUUGAGAAUUUUUAAAAAAUACUGUUGCAUGGAUCAUACUGUUAGAGAAACUGGUUGAAUUGGUUUGGAAUGAUAGCCAAAAGUCAUUGGUUUUUCAGAAGCUCUCAGGUCAUUACAGUAUGAAGCCAAGGUUGAGAAUCAUUGACUCAAGGGAAAAUCAACCCAUAAAUCUCAAGAGGGUUUCUCUUGAAAGAACCACUGAAAGAUGGACACCAGACAACAAAGCAAGGAAUCAAGAGAAAGAGCUUAGGAAUGAAGAAGUUGUGGCGAGAGGUCAGUGGUUAUGCAACGCCGCGGAAAGCCGAGAAGGAAGGCAAACAGAUGUAGCUUCCACGUGGUGUGAUGGGCCCUCGUGCCCCAGCUGCAUUAGGCCUUUUCUGGGACUGCAGAGCUGCGUGAAGGACCAGAACCCGUUCCCACGCAGUGUAUUCUGCGCGGAUGGCCCCCUGUGA